CAGCCGAAGACACAGUCAAGUGAUAUAUGGCAGAGCACUUUCAGCCCAUGGAAUUAGGUCUACGCAGGAUGGUUUUCUUGUCAUUGUUUUAUUGAUUUAUAGAAACAGCAGCCCGCUGAUUGCAAGAGACAAUUUAGCUUAAACUUACGCACUUGUUUUGUGGGAUUUGGAAUAACAGAGACAAUCAUCGGAGCAUUAAUGUAAUGUAAUGAAAGUAAAAAAGAAAUUUCAUUUAAUUAAAAUUUAAAUUGUAUUCAGGGUUUAUUACAUAGACUAUAUUUGUAAGUUCCAAAACAAUUCUUUAGCAAAUUUCACACCAUUUAAAAGUAUUUAAAUGACAUAUCCUUAACUCCAACAUGUUCCCUCAAUUUAUAAUCCUAUGACUUACUUAAAAUCGCUACAAAUUUACCUUCUAAUAAAAUUCAUAAAAAUGUUUUCAACCACCUUAAAGUCAACAUAUUUUUGUUUGCAAAAGGAGGCUUAAAUUAUAGACUAUUAACUCCAUAUGCCUAUCUAUGACCUGGAACAUACAGGCCAACACACAAACUGCCCCCUCCCGAACCAAGGCAAAUGAAAAAUCUGUCAAGCUCAACAAACAGACAACUUAAUGCCACAAGCCGACCGGCCAAGCAAUCCCACCAAGCCACAGGAGCUGCCAGGCCACUGGCCAGAGAAAGAGGAUGGAGUCGAGGAUGAGUUUGAGGAGGAGGACUCGAUGACUUGGCCAGACUGGUCUCUGUGGUAAAAUUUAAUUUAACAUACAAUUCAGAAGGCCCGGCGACAAAUUCUCUGGCCAGCAACUCCGGCCGCACAAUGGCAGCCGAAAUUGUUGCCAGGACACACACAAAGUUUCCUGCCGGCGAGGAGCUGGCUCAGGGACUGGGAUCUCUGGCCAGAGGCUCGAACCCUUAAUUAUAUUUAGUGUAUGAAAUCCUUUGGCCACACAAUGGCCAGCAGCAGCAGAAGCAGGAAGUGAAAGUGGCCAUGUCCUUGUCCCUGUUCGCCGUCGUGUUUAAUCCAAGCAAUUUGCAAUUUUUGGCCUUCGGACAAUGGAAUGAAUGGCAUUUGUGGCUCCCGUUCGAUUCGAUUCGCAACUGUUGCCAGGACUUCUUUCAUAAUCCCGGGAAGAACCCUUCAUCCGGCCUUCAAUAAAACCAUCAUAUUUGAUUGUUAUGUA
This is a long non-coding RNA of Drosophila kikkawai, 1177 nucleotides long. RefSeq lists it as uncharacterized. NCBI's taxonomy places the organism in Eukaryota, Metazoa, Arthropoda, Insecta, Diptera, Drosophilidae. The record is from RefSeq and is a predicted model, not a curated record.